This 639-nucleotide ribosomal RNA is filed under the name uncultured fungus. RNAcentral's name for it is "eukaryotic LSU rRNA". It matches the Rfam family "Eukaryotic large subunit ribosomal RNA", at positions 38 to 667 of the family's 3401-position model. Lineage: Eukaryota; Fungi. The record is from RNAcentral.
GCAUAUCAAUAAGCGGAGGAAAAGAAACUAACUAGGAUUCCCUUAGUAACGGCGAGUGAACCGGGAUGAGCUCAAAUUUAAAAUCUGGCGUCUUUCAGGCGUCCGAGUUGUAAUCUAUAGAGGCGUUUUCCGCGCCGGACCGCGUCCAAGUCUCUUGGAAUAGAGUAUCAAAGAGGGUGACAAUCCCGUACUUGACGCGACAACCGGUGCUCUGUGAUACGUUCUCAAUGAGUCGAGUUGUUUGGGAAUGCAGCUCUAAAUGGGUGGUAAAUUCCAUCUAAGGCUAAAUAUUGGCGAGAGACCGAUAGCGAACAAGUACCGUGAGGGAAAGAUGAAAAGCACUUUGGAAAGAGAGUUAAACAGCACGUGAAAUUGUUAAAAGGGAAACGAUUGAAGUCAGUCGUGUGAAAGGUAUUCAGCCGUCUCUGGCGGUGUAUUUGCCUUUCACGGGUCAACAUCAGUUUGAUCCGGUAGAAAAAGGCGGGAGGAAGGUGGCACCCUCGGGUGUGUUAUAGCCUCCUGUCAUAUGUGCCGGACCAGACUGAGGGACGCAGCUUGCCGCAAGGCCGGGGUUCGCCCACGUACAAGCUUAGGAUGUUGACAUAAUGGCUUUAAACGACCCGUCUUGAAACACGGACC